CUAUUGUCCCCAACACCGGGAAGCCAAAAUGAGGGUUCAAUGUUAAGCCUAAGUUAUUGAUAGGAGGGAUGUUUGACAUACUAGAGUUUGAAACAAUGUUUCAAAAAUAUCAUUUUGAAUGGAUGACUAGAGAAUUUGGAAGAUAUAGCUCUGCCCUAGUUUUGGAGUUUUACACAGCCUACCAUAUGGAUUUGAAAUGAUUGCAUCCGUAAGGGAUGGCAUAGAAGGUUGAUGAUUUCUUCAUUCUUUGUUAAUUUGAGGGGUUCAGGUAAAUAUCUCAACAUAAACAAUGUCCUAUUUCUUGCAUGGUGUUGAGUUUGUGCCUCUAACAGAC
This 334-nucleotide long non-coding RNA is filed under the name Capsicum annuum. Its description in RNAcentral is "long non-coding RNA (CANN_LNC010896)". Lineage: Eukaryota; Viridiplantae; Streptophyta; Magnoliopsida; Solanales; Solanaceae. The record is from RNAcentral.